GACGAACGCUGGCGGCGUGCUUAACACAUGCAAGUCGAACGGAAAGGCCCUGCUUUUGUGUGGUGCUCGAGUGGCGAACGGGUGAGUAACCCGUGAGUAACCUUCCCUUGACUUUGGGAUAACUUCAGGAAACUGGUGCUAAUACCGGCUAGGAGCUCCUGCUGCAUGGUGGUGUUUGGACAGUUUCGGCGGGGGGGGCUGGACUGCCGGCUUAUCAGCUUGUUGGGGGGGUAGCGGCUUACCCAGGCUUCGGUGGGUGGCCGGCACGGGUGGGUGGACGGCCACCAGGGGCCUGCGGGACGGACCAGUCGGCUACGGGAGGCAGCGGUGGGGAGUAUUGCACAAUGGGCGGAAGCCUGAUGCGGCAACGCCGCGUGCGGGAUGCCGGCCUUCGGGGUGUAAACCGCAUUAGCCUGUGACGAAGCGUGAGUGACGGUAAUGGGUGAAGAAGCACCGGCUAACUACGUG
This 468-nucleotide ribosomal RNA is filed under the name uncultured bacterium. RNAcentral describes it as "partial 16S ribosomal RNA". It matches the Rfam family "Bacterial small subunit ribosomal RNA", at positions 28 to 507 of the family's 1533-position model. The record is from RNAcentral.